AGUGAACGCUGGCGGUAGGCCUAACACAUGCAAGUCGAACGGCAGCACAGUAAGAGCUUGCUCUUACGGGUGGCGAGUGGCGGACGGGUGAGGAAUACAUCGGAAUCUACUUUUUCGUGGGGGAUAACGUAGGGAAACUUACGCUAAUACCGCAUACGACCUACGGGUGGAAGCAGGGGAUCUUCGGACCUUGCGCGAUUGAAUGAGCCGAUGUCGGAUUAGCUAGUUGGCGGGGUAAAGGCCCACCAAGGCGGCGAUCCGUAGCUGGUCUGAGAGGAUGAUCAGCCACACUGGAACUGAGACACGGUCCAGACUCCUACGGGAGGCAGCAGUGGGGAAUAUUGGACAAUGGGCGCAAGCCUGAUCCAGCCAUACCGCGUGGGUGAAGAAGGCCUUCGGGUUGUAAAGCCCUUUUGUUGGGAAAGAAAAGCAGCAGGUUAAUACCCCGCUGUUCUGACGGUACCCAAAGAAUAAGCACCGGCUAACUUCGUG
Molecule: ribosomal RNA, 492 nt
Filed under: uncultured bacterium
Lineage: Bacteria
Description: partial 16S ribosomal RNA
Rfam family: Bacterial small subunit ribosomal RNA
Source: RNAcentral